GGGGGUGAAUCAGGUUCGACACAGGGCGGGAUGGCAUUCGCAGCGAGCCGAGCCUCUCCGACUCGUAAAUCCGGGGAAAGAACCAUAAGUGCCAACAACGAUUACGCUCUAGCGGCUGCGUAAGUAGCCUCUACGCCGGCCCGAUGACGCCCGCUAUUCGGUGCCCGGUGUCAUGCAGCGGGAUGGCUCUGACCGCAAGCCUGGACGGUCAGGGGACUCAACAGGCUGGCUGAUGCAGGACCCUGCUUUGGGGGGCCGGCAUGAGCGAGAUGCAAAACCAAGGCUACGCUCGUAGACGCGGGUGUGGUCCUCCUUGUGGACAGCGGUGCAACUCCGCUCACCUCCACCA
RNAcentral lists this transfer-messenger RNA (349 nucleotides) under Limnochordales. Its description in RNAcentral is "Bu26 sp014896305 Standard tmRNA". It matches the Rfam family "transfer-messenger RNA". Rfam says of the family: Bacterial tmRNA, also known as 10Sa RNA or SsrA, is named for its dual tRNA and mRNA-like properties. Its role is to liberate the mRNA from a stalled ribosome. Lineage: Bacteria; Bacillati; Bacillota; Limnochordia. RNAcentral also lists the same sequence under 1 other name. The record is from RNAcentral.